RNAcentral lists this ribosomal RNA (141 nucleotides) under uncultured eukaryote. RNAcentral's name for it is "partial 18S ribosomal RNA". It matches the Rfam family "Eukaryotic small subunit ribosomal RNA", at positions 1299 to 1458 of the family's 1831-position model. The record is from RNAcentral.
UGGUGGAGUGAUUUGUCUGGUUAAUUCCGUUAACGAACGAGACCCCCGCCUGCUAAAUAGUCCCUGGUACGCAUUCGCGUAGCAGUGGCGCUUCUUAGAGGGACUUUCAGUGAUUAACUGAAGGAAGUUGGGGCAAUAACA